GACGAACGCUGGCGGCGUGCUUAACACAUGCAAGUCGAACGGAAAGGCCCUGCUUGCAGGGUACUCGAGUGGCGAACGGGUGAGUAACACGUGGGUGAUCUGCCCUGCACUUCGGGAUAAGCUUGGGAAACUGGGUCUAAUACCGGAUAGGAGCCAUCUUUAGUGUGGUGGUUGGAAAGUUUUUUCGGUGUAGGAUGAGCUCGCGGCCUAUCAGCUUGUUGGUGGGGUAAUGGCCUACCAAGGCGGCGACGGGUAGCCGGCCUGAGAGGGUGUACGGCCACAUUGGGACUGAGAUACGGCCCAGACUCCUACGGGAGGCAGCAGUGGGGAAUAUUGCACAAUGGGCGCAAGCCUGAUGCAGAGACGCCGCGUGGGGGAUGAAGGCCUUCGGGUUGUAAACUCCUUUCGCUAGGGACGAAGCUUUUUUGUGACGGUACCUAGAUAAGAAGCACCGGCUAACUACGUG
Molecule: ribosomal RNA, 466 nt
Filed under: uncultured bacterium
Lineage: Bacteria
Description: partial 16S ribosomal RNA
Rfam family: Bacterial small subunit ribosomal RNA
Source: RNAcentral